GAAUACAUACAUCAUGCUAUAUAGUGGAGACAGCACUCAAGUCAAAACAUGACAUGCAAUGAUGUUUCACAGCCACUUUCUAGACAUCGCCCGAAGGAAAAAGGGCCCCUUAAGAAAGAGCUGCCAGCAGGGUCUUUGGAUGAUGAAGAAGAAAAGCCAGCUUUGACAAAGGGAAGCAGGAGUGCCUUCGGGGCUCUCUCUGUUGCCCCAGGGCUUGCCCUGUGCUGACUGCCGACUCCUUUGCCAUGCAGCAGUCCGAGGAAUCAAGGCAGCCAGAAGGAGAACAAGGGUGGAUUAAGAUUUGCUCAAGGACAGCUGUUCUAUAGUCCGAGAUGGAAUGACCAGGAAGAUUACAGUCUUCUGCAAUUGGAUUUUGUGAAUUCCCAUUCCUAGUGCCCGUUUGAUGCCCACUUACCUUCUGGCACAAAGACUGGAGGAUUUCCCUAGGAAGAGGACUGGAGGAUAUUGUUGACAGAGGAUGGCAAAUAUUACAUUAAAGGAUAAGCAAGUGGAAGUUGCUGGGAGCAUGUAAGGAAUCAGUGAAUUGUGUUAGAUGGGGUUAUACUCCCCCUGAAGACGUAGGUUCGCAGCUAGGGAGUGAUCCUGGACUCAUCGCUGAGCCUGGAACCCCAGGUCUCAGUGGUGGCCGGGAGAGCUUUUGCACAAUUAAAACUUGUGCGCCAGUUGCGCCCGUACCUUGGGAAGUCGGAUCUGGCCACAGUGGUCCACGCUCUUGUUACAUCCCGAAUAGAUACUGCAACGCACUCUACGUGGGGUUGCCUUUGAAGACUGUUCGGAAACUUCAAUUAGUCCAACGGGCGGCAGCCAGAUUACUCACCGGAGCGUCAUACAGGGAACAUACCAC
Molecule: long non-coding RNA, 865 nt
Organism: Anolis sagrei ordinatus
Lineage: Eukaryota; Metazoa; Chordata; Lepidosauria; Squamata; Anolidae
Source: RefSeq, a predicted model, not a curated record